RNAcentral lists this unclassified non-coding RNA (246 nucleotides) under uncultured fungus. Its description in RNAcentral is "partial contains 5.8S ribosomal RNA, internal transcribed spacer 2, and large subunit ribosomal RNA". The stretch from base 1 to 52 matches the Rfam family "5.8S ribosomal RNA", at positions 103 to 154 of the family's 154-position model. The record is from RNAcentral. Lineage: Eukaryota; Fungi.
AACGCACAUUGCGCCCUCUGGUAUUCCGGGGGGCAUGCCUGUUCGAGCGUCAUUGCAACCCCUCAAGCACGGCUUGUGAGUUGGGCCAUCGUCCCCCGUGGACGGGCCUGAAAUGCAGUGGCAGCACCGAGUUCUGGUGUCUGAGUGUAUGGGAAUCUCUAUCGCUCAAAGACCCAAUCGGCGCUGAUGUCAAUAUCUUUAUCCAGUUUUGACCUCGGAUCAGGUAGGAGUACCCGCUGAACUUAA